UUUAUUUGAUAGCACCUUACUACAUGGAUAACUGUGGUAAUUCUAGAGCUAAAACAUGCUAAAAAUCCCGACUUCGGAAGGGAUGUGUUUAUUAGAUUAAAAACCAAUGCCCUUCGGGGCUCCUUGGUGAUUCAUGAUAACCGCUCGAAUCGCACGGCCUUGCGCCGGCGAUGGUUCAUUCAAAUUUCUUCCCUAUCAACUUUCGAUGCGAAGGUAUUGUCUUCGCAUGGUUACAACGGGUAACGGAGGGUUAGGGCUCGACCCCGGAGAAGGAGCCUGAGAAACGGCUACUACAUCCAAGGAAGGCAGCAGGCGCGCAAAUUACCCAAUCCCGACACGGGGAGGUAGUGACAAUAAAUACUGAUACAGGGCUCUUUUGGGUCUUGUAAUCGGAAUGAGUACAAUUUAAAUCCCUUAACGAGGAACAAUUGGAGGCAAGUCUGGUGCCAGCACCGCGUAAUUCCAGCUCCAAUAGCGUAUAUUAAAGUUGUUGUGGUUAAAAAGCUCGUAGUUGAACCUUGGGCCUGGCUGGCCGGUCCCCCUCACCGGGUGCACUGGUCCGGCCGGGCCUUUCCCUCUGUGGAACCGCAUGCCCUUCACUGGGUGUGCCGGGGAAACAGGACUUUUACUUUGAAAAAAUUAGAGUGCUCCAGGCAGGCCUAUGCUCGAAUACAUUAGCAUGGAAUAAUGGAAUAGGACGUGUGGUUCUAUUUUGUUGGUUUCUAGGACCGCCGUAAUGAUUAAUAGGGACAGUCGGGGGCAUCAGUAUUCAAUUGUCAGAGGUGAAAUUCUUGGAUCUAUUGAAGACUAACUACUGCGAAAGCAUUUGCCAAGGAUGUUUUCAUUGAUAAGGAACGAAAGUUAGGGGAUCGAAGACGAUCAGAUACCGUCGUAGUCUUAACUAUAAACUAUGCCGACUAGGGAUCGGACGGUGUUUAUACUUGACCCGUUCGGCACCUUUCGAGAAAUCAAAGUGCUUGGGCUCCA
This 987-nucleotide ribosomal RNA is filed under the name Graphium laricis. RNAcentral's name for it is "SSU rRNA". It matches the Rfam family "Eukaryotic small subunit ribosomal RNA", at positions 116 to 1116 of the family's 1831-position model. The record is from RNAcentral. Lineage: Eukaryota; Fungi; Ascomycota; Sordariomycetes; Microascales; Graphiaceae.